RNAcentral lists this ribosomal RNA (657 nucleotides) under Triticum aestivum (bread wheat). RNAcentral's name for it is "partial small subunit ribosomal RNA". The record is from RNAcentral. Lineage: Eukaryota; Viridiplantae; Streptophyta; Magnoliopsida; Poales; Poaceae.
AUGAAGCUCGCCGACAACCCGGCACAGUGGCCAACAGGGUUGGCCACCUCUGCCGGUUUACCUGAUACUCCGGUUCGGAAGCGCCGGUCUGAGGUGACACCUCCUUCCUCUUCUGGUGAAUCGACAAUAACUCAACUCCCCCCUUUGAAAACUGUGGCCGGGGCCAAAGCCAGACCCAGCAAGAAAGCUCGGGUCACCAAUCCGCCAGAAGACCCUGUCGUCGAAGAAGAAGAACCAAGAGGUGAACCGGAGCAGACUGGUGAACCGGAAGGUCUUCAUACUAAAACAACCUUUGAUGAUCCGCCCCUUGACGGCAAACACACCGAUAAACCAACAUAUGCUGAACCUGCCGCCCCUGAUACUGAACCGGCAGAACCACACCGGGCUAGUCCAAUGAAAGACACUGAAAUUCCAUCAUCAUCCACCAAAAAUCCUGAAGGUCAAGGUGAUGACGUUAUUAUUACUGGAAUGGGCCACAACUCUCCUGGUCAUCCCGUCAUUUUGGCUCAGCAUAGUGCCAAAGAAGAGCAAAUUGCUAGGGAUAAAGGUAAAUGGAGCAGCGACUUAUCGAACUAUGCUCAUCUUAACGCUGAUGAGCUUCAUUCCAACUUCUUGAACGUCUGCACUCAAACCGGGAUUAUGAAGCCGGUUUGGUGA